Molecule: non-coding RNA, 161 nt
Filed under: chicken gut metagenome
Source: RNAcentral
UUAUUUUGAGCCGGUAUAAUAGGGAAACAGGUGAAAUGCCUGUGCGGGACCGCCGCCGUAAAGACAGAGCGUUGGUUUGUGAAUGCCACUGUAAGGGUACAUAUGGGAAGGCAAAACCAAAGCGAUGACGUCUGAGCCGGAAGACCUGCCUUUUGUUUUUA